GAAUAAAGAAGUAGGACCCGAUGC
RNAcentral lists this non-coding RNA (24 nucleotides) under Arabidopsis thaliana (thale cress). Lineage: Eukaryota; Viridiplantae; Streptophyta; Magnoliopsida; Brassicales; Brassicaceae. The record is from RNAcentral.